This 638-nucleotide ribosomal RNA is filed under the name Penicillium brevicompactum. RNAcentral describes it as "eukaryotic LSU rRNA". It matches the Rfam family "Eukaryotic large subunit ribosomal RNA", at positions 1 to 649 of the family's 3401-position model. The record is from RNAcentral. Lineage: Eukaryota; Fungi; Ascomycota; Eurotiomycetes; Eurotiales; Aspergillaceae.
GGUUGACCUCGGAUCAGGUAGGGAUACCCGCUGAACUUAAGCAUAUCAAUAAGCGGAGGAAAAGAAACCAACAGGGAUUGCCCCAGUAACGGCGAGUGAAGCGGCAAGAGCUCAAAUUUGAAAGCUGGCUCCUUCGGGGUCCGCAUUGUAAUUUGCAGAGGAUGCUUCGGGAGCGGUCCCCAUCUAAGUGCCCUGGAACGGGACGUCAUAGAGGGUGAGAAUCCCGUAUGGGAUGGGGUGUCCGCGCCCGUGUGAAGCUCCUUCGACGAGUCGAGUUGUUUGGGAAUGCAGCUCUAAAUGGGUGGUAAAUUUCAUCUAAAGCUAAAUAUUGGCCGGAGACCGAUAGCGCACAAGUAGAGUGAUCGAAAGAUGAAAAGCACUUUGAAAAGAGAGUUAAAAAGCACGUGAAAUUGUUGAAAGGGAAGCGCUUGCGACCAGACUCGCUCGCGGGGUUCAGCCGGCAUUCGUGCCGGUGUACUUCCCCGCGAGCGGGCCAGCGUCGGUUUGGGCGGUCGGUCAAAGGCCUCUGGAAGGUAACGCCCCCUCGGGGGCGUCUUAUAGCCAGGGGUGCAAUGCGGCCUGCCCGGACCGAGGAACGCGCUUCGGCUCGGACGCUGGCAUAAUGGUCGUAAGCGACC